GUAGGUGGCAAGCGUUGUCCGGAAUUAUUGGGCGUAAAGCGCGCGCAGGCGGUUCUUUAAGUCUGAUGUGAAAGCCCACGGCUCAACCGUGGAGGGUCAUUGGAAACUGGAGAACUUGAGUACAGAAGAGGAAAGCGGAAUUCCACGUGUAGCGGUGAAAUGCGUAGAGAUGUGGAGGAACACCAGUGGCGAAGGCGGCUUUCUGGUCUGUAACUGACGCUGAGGCGCGAAAGCGUGGGGAGCAAACAGGGAUUAGAUACCCUGGUAGUCCACGCCGUAAACGAUGAGUGCUAAGUGUUAGGGGGGGUUUCCGCCCCCUUAGUGCUGCAGCUAACGCAUUAAGCACUGCGCCUGGGAGUACGGCCGCAAGGCUG
This 374-nucleotide ribosomal RNA is filed under the name uncultured organism. Its description in RNAcentral is "partial 16S ribosomal RNA". It matches the Rfam family "Bacterial small subunit ribosomal RNA", at positions 527 to 896 of the family's 1533-position model. The record is from RNAcentral.